GCCGGACAGAUCGUGUAUGCGAUUCAGACUGGAAGAGAUAAGUUGGACAGUCAAAAGGGAAAGAGCCCAGACCGCCGGCUAAGGUCCCAAAGUGGGUGUUAAGUGGAAAAGGAUGUGGGAUCUCUAAGACAACCAGGAUGUUGGCUCAGAAGCAGCCAUUCAUUAAAAGAGUGCGUAACAGCUCACUGGUCGAGAGGUCCUGCGCCGAAAAUGUCCGGGGCUGAAACACCACACCGAAGCCGCGGAACCCGUAAGGGUUGGUAGAGGAGCAUUCUUAGGGGAGCGAAGCAUUACCGUAAGGGGAUGUGGACUGCUAAGAAGAGAGAAUGCCGGAAUGAGUAGCGAGAGCAAGGUGAGAAUCCUUGCGGCCGAAUAUCCAAGGUUUCCAGAGUAAAGCUGAUCUGCUCUGGGUAAGUCGGGGCCUAAGGAGAGGCAGAGAUGCGUAUCCGAUGGACAGCAGGUUUAAGAUUCCUGCACCCCUUGUUAUCAGAACUGCGGGGACACGGGAAGGGAAGCAGAGCCGGGAAUGGAAAGCCCGGUGCAAGCGAAGGAGUCGCAGGGUUGGAAAAUCCGCCCUGCAUGAGACGAAGGCGUGAUGCGGAGCGAAAUGAAGUAGUGAAGCUGCGGCCCCUUCCUGUCGAGAAAAGCCGCUAUCGUGUAGCAAGGGCCCGUACCGUAAACCGACACAGGUGGAUGAGGAGAGGAUCCUAAGGCCGGCGGGAGAAGUGUUGUUAAGGAACUCGGCAAAAUGACUCCGUAACUUCGGGAGAAGGAGUGCUGCGCAAGCAGCCGCAGAGAAAUGGCCCAAGCAACUGUUUAGCAAAAACACAGGUCUAUGCGAAACCGAAAGGUGAGGUAUAUGGGCUGACGCCUGCCCGGUGCUGGAAGGUUAAGGGGAGAGCUUAGCGCAAGCGAAGGUUUGAACUUAAGCCCCAGUAAACGGCGGCCGUAACUAUAACGGUCCUAAGGUAGCGAAAUUCCUUGUCGGGUAAGUUCCGACCCGCACGAAAGGCGUAAUGAUUUGGGCACUGUCUCAACAACACACCCGGUGAAAUUGAAAUACCAGUGAAGAUGCUGGUUACCCGCGCCAGGACGGAAAGACCCCAUGGAGCUUUACUCCAGCCUGAUACUGGGAUUCGGUAUUGCAUGUACAGGAUAGGUGGGAGGCUAAGAACUUAUGGCGCCAGCCGUAAGGGAGCCAUUGUUGGGAUACCACCCCUGCAGUACUGGGUUUCUAACCUGCGCCCGUGACCCGGGCGGGGGACAAUGUCAGGCGGGGAGUUUGACUGGGGCGGUCGCCUCCGAAAGGGUAUCGGAGGCGCUCAAAGGUCUCCUCAGGAUGGUUGGAAACCAUCCAGAGAGUGCAAAGGCAGAAGGAGGCUUGACUGCGACACCGACGGGUGGAGCAGGUACGAAAGUAGGACUUAGUGAUCCGGUGGCAUAACGUGGGAUUGCCAUCGCUCAACGGAUAAAAGCUACCCUGGGGAUAACAGGCUUAUCACUCCCAAGAGUUCACAUCGACGGAGUGGUUUGGCACCUCGAUGUCGGCUCAUCGCAUCCUGGAGCUGGAGCAGGUUCCAAGGGUUGGGCUGUUCGCCCAUUAAAGCGGUACGCGAGCUGGGUUCAGAACGUCGUGAGACAGUUCGGUCCCUAUCCGGCGCGGGCGCAGGAUAUCUGAGAGGAGCUGUCCUUAGUACGAGAGGACCGGGAUGGACCGUCC
This 1720-nucleotide ribosomal RNA is filed under the name human gut metagenome. RNAcentral describes it as "bacterial LSU rRNA". It matches the Rfam family "Bacterial large subunit ribosomal RNA", at positions 961 to 2707 of the family's 2925-position model. The record is from RNAcentral.